AAGUAGCCGCCGGGCGAACGGAUAUCAUUGAUGUUGAUAAAUAGAAAACUUUAAGUUUUGCUACUUC
RNAcentral lists this transfer RNA (67 nucleotides) under Phyllidia elegans. RNAcentral's name for it is "tRNA-Ile". The record is from RNAcentral. Lineage: Eukaryota; Metazoa; Mollusca; Gastropoda; Nudibranchia; Phyllidiidae.